Molecule: long non-coding RNA, 703 nt
Organism: Tyto alba (common barn owl)
Lineage: Eukaryota; Metazoa; Chordata; Aves; Strigiformes; Tytonidae
Exons: 3
Source: RefSeq, a predicted model, not a curated record
CCGGCCGCUCCUGAGGGCGCCGCGGGAAGGGGCUGCUGCCGGGCGGUGCAGGCGGGAGGGAGCGGCGCCGGCAGCUGGGCCCGGCCCGGCCCUUGGCAGCCAGCUAAGGCGCCUCCUGAGCCAGCUGCUGUCCUGAGGCACUCCCUGUCCUCUGGACUGCAGCUCAGCUACAGCACAGCACAGUUCCAGAUCUAGGUAGUUGGCUAUUCCCUAGAAGAUUUUGUAACUCCUACCGACUUGGCAUGAAGUCUCAAGGCAGCCUGAGGCGUCAAAAAAACAGGUACAACAAGGAAAAGCAACCACCUCCAAAGGGAUGUGGUAAAGUAGGUCACCAUUAAACGCCUUUUUGAAGAGAUCUCCAACUGAUGUACCCUGGCCUACUGAAAUGGAUAAAACAUUGAUUUGCUCCAGAGAGGGGUUUCACCUGCUGAAUUCAGCCUGUGUUAGUAACUGUGACUAAUUGCUCGGCCCUUCACAGCCCUAUUUUAAGAUGGUAUUUUGCCAUGUGUGUUUGUAUUACCCAUGUUUAUUCAGAAAUGUAAAGAAUUCAUACAAAAGAAGAAAACAAAGGUAGUUAGUAACUGCAUGGCAACAAAACUUUUUGUUUUUCAAAACUGGCAUUGUAAUUAUGCCGUGCACAUGCUCAUCUGACUUUCAUGCUUCAAUAUCCAUAGGGCUGAAUCAGCAUGAAAAAAGAACAUUC